UUAGUGGCGAACGGGUGAGUAACACGUGGGCAAUCUGCCCUGCACUCUGGGACAAGCCCUGGAAACGGGGUCUAAUACCGGAUAAUACUGUGCCCCUCAUGGGGGACGGUUGAAAGCUCCGGCGGUGCAGGAUGAGCCCGCGGCCUAUCAGCUUGUUGGUGGGGUAAUGGCCUACCAAGGCGACGACGGGUAGCCGGCCUGAGAGGGCGACCGGCCACACUGGGACUGAGACACGGCCCAGACUCCUACGGGAGGCAGCAGUGGGGAAUAUUGCACAAUGGGCGAAAGCCUGAUGCAGCGACGCCGCGUGAGGGAUGACGGCCUUCGGGUUGUAAACCUCUUUCAGCAGGGAAGAAGCGAAAGUGACGGUACCUGCAGAAGAAGCGCCGGCUAACUACGUGCCAGCAGCCGCGGUAAUACGUAGGGCGCAAGCGUUGUCCGGAAUUAUUGGGCGUAAAGAGCUCGUAGGCGGUCUGUCACGUCGGGUGUGAAAGCCCGGGGCUUAACCCCGGGUCUGCAUUCGAUACGGGCAGACUAGAGUGUGGUAGGGGAGAUCGGAAUUCCUGGUGUAGCGGUGAAAUGCGCAGAUAUCAGGAGGAACACCGGUGGCGAAGGCGGAUCUCUGGGCCAUUACUGACGCUGAGGAGCGAAAGCGUGGGGAGCGAACAGGAUUAGAUACC
RNAcentral lists this ribosomal RNA (680 nucleotides) under Streptomyces sp. I11A-02709. RNAcentral describes it as "bacterial SSU rRNA". It matches the Rfam family "Bacterial small subunit ribosomal RNA", at positions 92 to 786 of the family's 1533-position model. Lineage: Bacteria; Bacillati; Actinomycetota; Actinomycetes; Kitasatosporales; Streptomycetaceae. The record is from RNAcentral.